CCGGAAAGAAAACAGAGUAGUUUUGCUUUAGCAGAGAGCCGAAGACUCGAAAGAGUGACCCGGAAAAAAAAAGGUAGAGUCAUUCCUCGAUCUCAUCUCAGUAAUUUUCCAGCAAGACCAUUGGAUUAGCAAGGCGAGGACCGACGUUUGCGACGCUGAACGAGAAAAUCUCCCAUUGAGAUUCUUCCUGAAGGUCGCCACUAAUGGCGGCAACGAAGCCCAAAGCUUCUGCUCCGAUUCCAGGCAAAAUGAGCCCACACAUUUGGUUCUACUCCUUUGUGCUCAUUAUUCAAUACGGCAUGCAACCUCUCAUCUCCAAACGCCUCACCAGUCGGGAAGUAAUUGUAACUUCAUCAGUCUUGACAUGUGAGGUAGCCAAGGUUGUAUUUGCUAUUAUUCUCAUGGCGAAAGAUGGCAGCUUAAAGAAACUGGCGAAAGAAUGGACUUUGAUGGGUUCACUCGCUGCAUGUGGUCUUCCUGCCACAAUUUAUGCACUUCAAAACAUUUUGUUGCAGAUAUCUUAUAGGAAUCUCGAUUCACUUACUUUAUCAAUGCUGAACCAGACGAAAAUAUUUUUCACUGCCUUAUUUACAUUUAUCAUACUAAGGCAGAGGCAGUCAAUUCAACAAAUUGGGGCUCUGUUUUUGUUGAUCAUGGCAGCUGUUCUUCUAAGCAUCGGUGAAGGUUCUAGCAAAUCUUCUAGCAGUGGUGAUCCCGAGCAAAUUCUAUUUUACGGAAUUAUCCCUGUUUUAGUUGCUUCUGUACUUUCCGGCCUAGCUUCUGCAUUAUGUCAAUGGGCUUCUCAGGUCAAGAAGCACUCAGCACACUUGAUGACUGUAGAAAUGUCUAUUGUCGGAAGCUUGUGCUUACUGGCUAGUACCUCCAAGUCUCCAGAUGGAGAAGCUAUUAGACGUCAUGGAUUCUUUUAUGGUUGGACUCCACCAACUUUGAUUCCGGUUGUAACCAAUGCUCUUGGCGGGAUUCUUGUUGGCCUUAUCACCAGCCUUGCAGGUGGUGUGACAAAGGUAAGCCUAACUACAUCAAAUUAAUACAGUGAAAACUCAGGAUGAGGCAUUGAAGGGGACAUUGAUGAUUAAAUAGAUGCAUGUUGAUAUGGGGGCUAUUUCAUUGCAUCCAUCUAAAUCAUCAAGGGUUUGUCGUUGUUUCAGCACUUCUUGUAACGGCGAUGCUGCAGUUCCUUUUUGAAGGAAAAUCACCGACGACGUAUAGUCUCAUGGCUCUUCCACUUGUUAUCAGUAGCGUUUCCAUAUACCAGAAAUAUCCAUACCGA
Hibiscus syriacus is the source of this 1291-nucleotide RNA transcript. It is a transcript of the gene named UDP-N-acetylglucosamine transporter ROCK1-like, with no coding region annotated. The record is from RefSeq and is a predicted model, not a curated record. NCBI's taxonomy places the organism in Eukaryota, Viridiplantae, Streptophyta, Magnoliopsida, Malvales, Malvaceae. The transcript has 7 exons.